UUUUUUGUAUUUUUAGUAGAGACGGGGUUUCACCGUGUUAGCCAGGAUCUUCUUGAUCUCCUGACCUUGUGAUCCACCCGCCUCGGCCUCCCAAAGUGCUGGGAUUACAGGUGUGAGCCACCGCACCUGGUCCAAGAACCCAAGUUUUAGAUCUAGAGUGAUGUCAGCAUGACAUUGAUUUCCUGAGGCCCAGGGGUGAAGGAGCUGAGGACAGCAGAGGGGUGAAGGAACUCAGCUACAGACAGCAGCAGCUGAUGCACAGGCCUCCCAGCGCCUGAAGUCACCCGGAAUUGGGAAGUGCUCAGAAGCUUACAAAGCUGCCUCGAGAUGGAAUUUUACUGUGUCAAGAAGCAUUGAAUGCUGAGCGGGAGCUAUGUCAUCCAGAUACAGAUCUCUGCAGAUUUGAUGCUACAGAUGAAGAGUUGAGAUUGUGUCAGGCCUGUGGGUUUGAAUUUGACAUGUGUGAGUGGACGUCAGAAGCAUCUGCUGGCCAAAUUUCCUGGAUGCGCACAAAAGCGAGAGAGAUCCCUGCAUUCGAAUCCACACCUCAGCAGGAUCAAGGAGGUGAUGAU
This is a long non-coding RNA of Pan troglodytes (chimpanzee), 572 nucleotides long. RefSeq lists it as uncharacterized. The record is from RefSeq and is a predicted model, not a curated record. Lineage: Eukaryota; Metazoa; Chordata; Mammalia; Primates; Hominidae. The transcript is spliced from 3 exons.